UGAUAGCGUUGAAGCGUGAGGUUGCUGCCGGGCCGAAAGGCACUGCAGGUUUUCCGUGGAGCGAAUGUCAAGAGGCCAUGCA
RNAcentral lists this non-coding RNA (82 nucleotides) under human gut metagenome. Its description in RNAcentral is "S10-Clostridia ribosomal protein leader". It matches the Rfam family "S10-Clostridia ribosomal protein leader". The record is from RNAcentral.